Molecule: ribosomal RNA, 252 nt
Filed under: uncultured bacterium
Lineage: Bacteria
Description: partial 16S ribosomal RNA
Rfam family: Bacterial small subunit ribosomal RNA
Source: RNAcentral
UACGUAGGGUGCAAGCGUUAAUCGGAAUUACUGGGCGUAAAGCGUGCGCAGGCGGUUUUGUAAGUCUGUCGUGAAAUCCCCGGGCUCAACCUGGGAAUUGCGAUGGAGACUGCAAGGCUAGAAUCUGGCGGAGGGGGGUAGAAUUCCACGUGGUAGCAGUGAAAUGCGUAGAGAUGUGGAGGAACACCGAUGGCGAAGGCAGCCCCUGGGCCUGCACUGACGCUCAUGCACGAAAGCGUGGGGAGCAAACGG